CCGAGUUGUAAUUUGUAGAGGAUGUUUCGGCGAGUGCUCCCGUCUAAGUUCCUUGGAACAGGACGUCAUAGAGGGUGAGAAUCCCGUAUGUGAUGGGUUGCGCGAGCCAUGUGAAACUCCUUCGACGAGUCGAGUUGUUUGGGAAUGCAGCUCUAAAUGGGAGGUAAAUUUCUUCUAAAGCUAAAUACCGGCCAGAGACCGAUAGCGCACAAGUAGAGUGAUCGAAAGAUGAAAAGCACUUUGGAAAGAGAGUUAAAAAGUACGUGAAAUUGUUGAAAGGGAAGCGCUUGCAACCAGACUUGCUCGCAGUUGCUCAACCCGCCUCCUGGUGGGUGUACUCUUCUGCGGUCAGGCCAGCAUCAGUUCGGGCGGUCGGAUAA
This 380-nucleotide ribosomal RNA is filed under the name Dothideomycetes sp. 2092 RO-2014. RNAcentral describes it as "LSU rRNA". It matches the Rfam family "Eukaryotic large subunit ribosomal RNA", at positions 138 to 522 of the family's 3401-position model. The record is from RNAcentral. Lineage: Eukaryota; Fungi; Ascomycota; Dothideomycetes.